Molecule: ribosomal RNA, 253 nt
Filed under: uncultured bacterium
Lineage: Bacteria
Description: partial 16S ribosomal RNA
Rfam family: Bacterial small subunit ribosomal RNA
Source: RNAcentral
UACGUAGGGUGCAAGCGUUAAUCGGAAUUACUGGGCGUAAAGCGUGCGCAGGCGGCUUUGCAAGACAGAUGUGAAAUCCCCGGGCUCAACCUGGGAACUGCAUUUGUGACUGCAUGGCUAGAGUACGGCAGAGGGGGAUGGAAUUCCGCGUGUAGCAGUGAAAUGCGUAGAUAUGCGGAGGAACACCGAUGGCGAAGGCAGUCCCCUGGGCCUGUACUGACGCUCAUGCACGAAAGCGUGGGGAGCAAACAGG